Molecule: ribosomal RNA, 301 nt
Filed under: uncultured bacterium
Lineage: Bacteria
Description: partial 16S ribosomal RNA
Rfam family: Bacterial small subunit ribosomal RNA
Source: RNAcentral
CAGUCGCCGCGGGAAUACGAAGGGGGCUAGCGUUGCUCGGAAUGACUGGGCGUAAAGGGCGCGUAGGCGGAUUGUUUAGUUAGGCGUGAAAUUCCUGGGCUUAACCUGGGGACUGCGCUUAAUACAGGCAGUCUAGAGUGAGGAAGAGGGUUGUGGAAUUCCCAGUGUAGAGGUGAAAUUCGUAGAUAUUGGGAAGAACGCCGGUGGCGAAGGCGGCAACCUGGUCCUUGACUGACGCUGAGGCGCGAAAGCGUGGGGAGCAAACAGGAUUAGAGACCCCUGUAGUCCCUGUCUCUUAUAC